This 448-nucleotide ribosomal RNA is filed under the name Argiope argentata. RNAcentral's name for it is "partial 16S ribosomal RNA". It matches the Rfam family "Bacterial large subunit ribosomal RNA", at positions 1833 to 2600 of the family's 2925-position model. The record is from RNAcentral. Lineage: Eukaryota; Metazoa; Arthropoda; Arachnida; Araneae; Araneidae.
CUUACUGAAAUUAUAAUAAGUAACACCUGCUCAAUGACCUAUUUUAAAUAGCCGCGGAAAUUUAACCGUGCUAAGGUAGCAUAAUCAUUAGCCUCUUAAUUAGAGGCUCGUAUGAACGGUGAAACAUUUCAAUUACUUUUUUAAUAAAUUUAUUUAAAUUUAAAUUAAGAAUAAAAAUGUUCUUAUUUAUUAAAUAGACGAUAAGACCCUUUUGAACUUUACUUUAGUUUAGCUGGGGCAGCUAAAUAAUAAUCAUCUUAUUAAAAUUUAUUUAAAUAAAUGACCCAAUAUAAUUGAUUUUAUGAACAAGUUACCAUAGGGAUAACAGCGUAAUAUCUUUUUAAAGCUCUUAUUAAAAAAGGAGAUUGCGACCUCGAUGUUGAAUUAAUGUAACUUUACUGAUGCAGUAAUUUUAAAAGUAGGUCUGUUCGACCUUUAAAACAUUACA